GACGAACGCUGGCGGCGUGCCUAAUACAUGCAAGUAGAACGCUGAAGCUUGGUGCUUGCCCCGAGCGGAUGAGUUGCGAACGGGUGAGUAACGCGUAGGUAACCUGCCUGGUAGCGGGGGAUAACUAUUGGAAACGAUAGCUAAUACCGCAUAAGAGUAGAUGUUGCAUGACAUUUGCUUAAAAGGUGCAAUUGCAUCACUACCAGAUGGACCUGCGUUGUAUUAGCUAGUUGGUGAGGUAACGGCUCAUCAAGGCAACGAUACAUAGCCGACCUGAGAGGGUGAUCGGCCACACUGGGACUGAGACACGGCCCAGACUCCUACGGGAGGCAGCAGUAGGGAAUCUUCGGCAAUGGACGGAAGUCUGACCGAGCAACGCCGCGUGAGUGAAGAAGGUUUUCGGAUCGUAAAGCUCUGUUGUAAGAGAAGAACGAGUGUGAGAGUGGAAAGUUCACACUGUGACGGUAUCUUACCAGAAAGGGACGGCUAACUACGUG
This 497-nucleotide ribosomal RNA is filed under the name uncultured bacterium. RNAcentral describes it as "partial 16S ribosomal RNA". It matches the Rfam family "Bacterial small subunit ribosomal RNA", at positions 28 to 507 of the family's 1533-position model. The record is from RNAcentral.